Molecule: ribosomal RNA, 443 nt
Filed under: uncultured bacterium
Lineage: Bacteria
Description: partial 16S ribosomal RNA
Rfam family: Bacterial small subunit ribosomal RNA
Source: RNAcentral
UCUACGGGUGGCAGCAGUGGGGGAUAUUGGACAAUGGGGGGAACCCUGAUCCAGCGACGCCGCGUGAGUGAAGAAGUAUUUCGGUAUGUAAAGCUCUGUCAGCAGGGAAGAAAGCAAUGACGGUACCUGACCAAGAAGCCCCGGCUAACUACGUGCCAGCAGCCGCGGUAAUACGUAGGGGGCAAGCGUUAUCCGGAAUUACUGGGUGUAAAGGGAGCGUAAACGGUGAUGUAAGUCUGGAGUGAAAGGCGGGGGCCCAACCCCCGGACUGCUCUGGAAACUAUGUGACUGGAGUGCAGGAGAGGUGAGCGGAAUUCCUAGUGUAGCGGUGAAAUGCGUAGAUAUUAGGAGGAACACCAGUGGCGAAGGCGGCUCACUGGACUGUAACUGACGUUGAGGCUCGAAAGCGUGGGUAGCAAACAGGAUUAGAUACCCCGGUAGUC